AAUAGCGUAUAUUAAAGUUGUUGCAGUUAAAAAGCUCGUAGUUGGAUUUCUGGUUGAAGCGACCGGUCGGGCGUUGAUUCGUCUGCACUGGAGUCGGUUUUGGCCAUCCUCUAGGAAAGUGCGUCUGGUAUUAAGUUAUCGGGCGUAUGAUCCUGGUCUUUUACUGUGAAAAAAUUAGAGUGUUUAAAGCAGGCCUUCGCCUUGAAUACAUUAGCAUGGAAUAAUAAGAUAGGACUUUGGUCUAUUUUGUUGGUUUGCAGACCGAAGUAAUGAUUAAUAGGGAUAGUUGGGGGUAUUUAUAUUCCGAUGUCAGAGGUGAAAUUCUUAGAUUUUCGGAAGAUAAACUUAUGCGAAAGCAUUUACCAAGGAUGUUUUCAUUAA
RNAcentral lists this ribosomal RNA (381 nucleotides) under uncultured eukaryote. Its description in RNAcentral is "partial 18S ribosomal RNA". It matches the Rfam family "Eukaryotic small subunit ribosomal RNA", at positions 593 to 976 of the family's 1831-position model. The record is from RNAcentral.